GACGAACGCUGGCGGCGUGCUUGACACAUGCAAGUCGAACGGAAAGGCCCUGCUUUUGUGGGGUGCUCGAGUGGCGAACGGGUGAGUAACACGUGAGUAACCUGCCCUUGACUUUGGGAUAACUUCAGGAAACUGGGGCUAAUACCGGAUAGGAGCUCCUGCUGCAUGGUGGGGGUUGGAAAGUUUCGGCGGUUGGGGAUGGACUCGCGGCUUAUCAGCUUGUUGGUGGGGUAGUGGCUUACCAAGGCUUUGACGGGUAGCCGGCCUGAGAGGGUGACCGGCCACAUUGGGACUGAGAUACGGCCCAGACUCCUACGGGAGGCAGCAGUGGGGAAUAUUGCACAAUGGGCGGAAGCCUGAUGCAGCAACGCCGCGUGCGGGAUGACGGCCUUCGGGUUGUAAACCGCUUUCGCCUGUGACGAAGCGUGAGUGACGGUAAUGGGUAAAGAAGCACCGGCUAACUACGUGCCAGCAGCCGCGGUGAUACGUAGGGUGCGAGCGUUGUCCGGAUUUAUUGGGCGUAAAGGGCUCGUAGGUGGUUGAUCGCGUCGGAAGUGUAAUCUUGGGGCUUAACCCUGAGCGUGCUUUCGAUACGGGUUGACUUGAGGAAGGUAGGGGAGAAUGGAAUUCCUGGUGGAGCGGUGGAAUGCGCAGAUAUCAGGAGGAACACCAGUGGCGAAGGCGGUUCUCUGGGCCUUUCCUGACGCUGAGGAGCGAAAGCGUGGGGAGCGAACAGGCUUAGAUACCCUGGUAGUCCACGCUGUAAACGGUGGGUACUAGGUGUGGGGUCCAUUCCACGGGUUCCGUGCCGUAGCUAACGCUUUAAGUACCCCGCCUGGGGAGUACGGCCGCAAGGCUAAAACUCAAAGGAAUUGACGGGGCCCCGCACAAGCGGCGGAGCAUGCGGAUUAAUUCGAUGCAACGCGUAGAACCUUACCUGGGUUUGACAUGGAUCGGGAGUGCUCAGAGAUGGGUGUGCCUCUUUUGGGGUCGGUUCACAGGUGGUGCAUGGCUGUCGUCAGCUCGUGUCGUGAGAUGUUGGGUUAAGUCCCGCAACGAGCGCAACCCUUGUUCACUGUUGCCAGCACGUUAUGGUGGGGACUCAGUGGAGACCGCCGGGGUCAACUCGGAGGAAGGUGGGGAUGACGUCAAGUCAUCAUGCCCCUUAUGUCCAGGGCUUCACGCAUGCUACAAUGGCUGGUACAGAGAGUGGCGAGCCUGUGAGGGUGAGCGAAUCUCGGAAAGCCGGUCUCAGUUCGGAUUGGGGUCUGCAACUCGACCUCAUGGAGUCGGAGUCGCUAGUAAUCGCAGAUCAGCAACGCUGCGGUGAAUACGUUCCCGGGGCU
This 1346-nucleotide ribosomal RNA is filed under the name uncultured bacterium. Its description in RNAcentral is "partial 16S ribosomal RNA". It matches the Rfam family "Bacterial small subunit ribosomal RNA", at positions 28 to 1381 of the family's 1533-position model. The record is from RNAcentral.